Molecule: long non-coding RNA, 1007 nt
Filed under: Felis catus (domestic cat)
Lineage: Eukaryota; Metazoa; Chordata; Mammalia; Carnivora; Felidae
Description: lncRNA (ENSFCAG00000049062.1)
Source: RNAcentral
UUUUUUUUUUUUUUUUUUUUUUUUUUUUUUUUUUUUUUUUUUUUUUUUUUUUUUUUUUUUUUUUUUUUUUUUUUUUUUUUUUUUUUUUUUUUUUUUUUUUUUUUUUUUUUUUUUUUUUUUUUUUUUUUUUUUUUUUUUUUUUUUUUUUUUUUUUUUUUUUUUUUUUUUUUUUUUUUUUUUUUUUUUUUUUUUUUUUUUUUUUUUUUUUUUUUUUUUUUUUUUUUUUUUUUUUUUUUUUUUUUUUUUUUUUUUUUUUUUUUUUUUUUUUUUUUUUUUUUUUUUUUUUUUUUUUUUUUUUUUUUUUUUUUUUUUUUUUUUUUUUUUUUUUUUUUUUUUUUUUUUUUUUUUUUUUUUUUUUUUUUUUUUUUUUUUUUUUUUUUUUUUUUUUUUUUUUUUUUUUUUUUUUUUUUUUUUUUUUUUUUUUUUUUUUUUUUUUUUUUUUUUUUUUUUUUUUUUUUUUUUUUUUUUUUUUUUUUUUUUUUUUUUUUUUUUUUUUUUUUUUUUUUUUUUUUUUUUUUUUUUUUUUUUUUUUUUUUUUUUUUUUUUUUUUUUUUUUUUUUUUUUUUUUUUUUUUUUUUUUUUUUUUUUUUUUUUUUUUUUUUUUUUUUUUUUUUUUUUUUUUUUUUUUUUUUUUUUUUUUUUUUUUUUUUUUUUUUUUUUUUUUUUUUUUUUUUUUUUUUUUUUUUUUUUUUUUUUUUUUUUUUUUUUUUUUUUUUUUUUUUUUUUUUUUUUUUUUUUUUUUUUUUUUUUUUUUUUUUUUUUUUUUUUUUUUUUUUUUUUUUUUUUUUUUUUUUUUUUUUUUUUUUUUUUUUUUUUUUUUUUUUUUUUUUUUUUUUUUUUUUUUUUUUUUUUUUUUUUUUUUUUUUUUUUUUUUUUUUUUUUUUUUUUUUUUUUUUUUGUUUUUUUAACAAAAAGAUAAUUGCCAACUCGUGCCAACCGUGGACAACCACCCACUACCAUUGUAAAGAAUCCCAACACGCUUGAAAACACAACGUAGCAAACAAAAU